UUCCUUUUCAAUCUUUUUUCUCCAAUCUUGUCUUCAUGCUUUAUUUCAUUAAGUUGAUCUUCAAUCUCUAAUAUCCUUUCUUCUGCUCAAUCGACUUGGCUAUUAAUACUUGUGUAUGCUUCAUGAAGUUCUCGUGCUGUGUUUUUCAGCUCCAUCAGGUUAUUUAUGUUCUUUUCUAAAGUGGUUAUUCUAGUUAUCAAUUCCUCUAACCUUUUUCAAGGUUCUUAGCUUCCCUGUGUUGUGUUAGAACAUGCUCCUUUAGCUCAGAGGUGUUUGUUACUACCCAUCUUUGGAAGCCUACUUCUGUCAACUCAUCAAACUCAUUCUCCAUCCGGUUUUGUUCCCUUGCUGGCAGGGAGUUGUAAUCCUUUGGAGGAGAAGAAAUGUUCUGGUUUUUGGAAUUUUCAGCCUUUUUGCUCUGGUUUUUCCUCACCUUUGUGGACCUAUCUAAUUUUGUUCUUUGAUGUUGGUGACCUUCAGAUGGGGUUUUUGGGUGGAUGUCCUUUUUGUUGAUGUUGAUGCUACUUCUUUCUGUUUGUUAGUUUUCCUUCUAACAGUCAGGACCCUCAGCUGCAGAUGUGCUGGAGUUUGCUGGAGGUCCACUCCAGACCCUGUUUGCCUGAGUAUCAUCAGUAGAUGCUGCAGAACAGCAAAGAUUACUGCCUGUUCUUUCUUCUGGAAGCUUUGUCCCAGAGGGGCAACAGCCAGGUGCCAGCUGGAGCUCUCCUGUAUGAGGUAUCUGUCGACCCCUGCUGGGAGGUGUCUCCCAGUCAGGAGGCACAGACAUCAGGGAGCCACUUUAGGAGGCAGUCUGUCCCUUAGCAGAAUUCAAGUGCUUUGCUGGGAGAUCUGCUGCUCUCUUCAGAGCCAGCAGGCAGGAACAUUUAAGCCUGCUGAAGCUGUGCCCACAACCGCCCUUUCCCCCUGGGACAGAUCCCAGGGAGAUGGGAGUUUUAUCUAAAAGCACCUGACUGGGGAUGCUGCCAUUCUUUCAGAGAUGCCCUGCCCAGCGAGGAGGAAUCUAGAGAAGCGGUCUGGCUAUAGCUGCUUUGCUGGGUUGUGAUGGGCUCUGCCCAGUUCAAACUUCCUGGUGGCUUUAUUUACACUGUGAAGGGAAAAGUGCCUACUCAAGCCUCAAUAGUGGCAGAUUCCCCUACCCCCACCAAGCUCGAGUGUCCCAGGUCGACUUCAGAGUGCUGUGCUGACAGUGAGAAUUUCAAGCCAGUGGAUCUUAGCUUCCUGGGCUUCAUGGGGGUGGGAUCCCCUGAGAUAGACCACUUGACACCCUGGCUUCAGCCCCGUUUCCAGGGGAGUGAAUAUUUCUGUCUUGCUGGCAUUCCAGGUGCCGCUGGGGUAUGGAAAAAAAAAAAAAAAAAAAAA
This 1380-nucleotide long non-coding RNA is filed under the name Macaca fascicularis (crab-eating macaque). RNAcentral describes it as "lncRNA (ENSMFAG00000051543.1)". Lineage: Eukaryota; Metazoa; Chordata; Mammalia; Primates; Cercopithecidae. The record is from RNAcentral.